CCACGUGCCCGCUAAGGCUUGCCAGGAGCUUAUGGUAUAAAUAAAUAACAUGGCUGACGGGCAAGCUGGGUGCAGCCCCGGAGGGAAAUCCUGCCCGUGCCUGCUGCCUCAGAAGGGAGAGGGUGACCGGACCUCCGGCCGGGAUCUCCUCUGGCCAGCUGAAGUUCAGGGUCCCUGAGCUCGGGAUAUCUUUUCCACCAUAAAUGUGGAGACCUACGCCAGAGGGAGACCGAGCCCCACCAGUGCCUGGGGUGCUGGACCCCCCGGCCACGCCGGCCCCAAGCUGGAAGUGUGUGGUUGUGAGGUAUUAUGGAAAAAAAAAAUGAACCCUUUUCUUUUCUUGCUAUUGUUAUUUUGUUUUGUCCAGUAAACCUGAGGUAAGUAUAGAUACCGUCUUUGCAGAAUGUGAUCAGGAAAAAAAAAAUAAUAAUAAAUCUAGACUAGGCUAUCAGGAAAACACAAAUAAACUGUACAUAAGGCUUUUCCAGUAAAUCAAAGUACUCGUCAUAUCUCCACUUAACCAUCUACUUCAAGAUUUGAAAUUUAAGCGGUAAAAUAAUAUAUUAUAAAAAUGUUUAUAAAAUAGCAGCACACAGUGAAACAUUACAGCUAAGAACUGUUAAUGUGAAUAAAAAUGAAACAAGUCGUAGCUUCUUAGCAGCGCAAACAAAAAAAACUGAACAAAUAAAAACGAACCCCAAAAAAAGGACAAUCGGGAGAUUUUUUUUUUUUAAAUCUCCAUUUUUCUACUCUCAUGGUUGCUCCACCAGGCAGCGUCGGUUUAUAAAAUAAUAAUUCUUCAAAAGUAUCACGUUCCUUUCGGUUUUCCAUUUUUCAACAAUGCAAACAUUAAUAUUCCCACCAACGUCAACUGUUAAGAAAAUUGUGCAAAAAAAAAAAAAAAAAAA
Long non-coding RNA from Ornithorhynchus anatinus (platypus), 908 nucleotides. RefSeq lists it as uncharacterized. The record is from RefSeq and is a predicted model, not a curated record. The transcript has 2 exons. NCBI's taxonomy places the organism in Eukaryota, Metazoa, Chordata, Mammalia, Monotremata, Ornithorhynchidae.